AGAGUUUGAUCAUGGCUCAGAACGAACGUUAGCGGCGCGCCUAACACAUGCAAGUCGAACGCGACAGGGGCAACUCUGUUGAGUGGCGCACGGGUGAGUAACACGUAGGUAAUCUCCCCUCGAGUGGUGGAUAACCUUCCGAAAGGAGGGCUAAUACAGCAUAAGACCACGGUCUCGAAAGAGGCUGAGGUCAAAGCGGAGGAUCGCAAGACUUCGCGCUUGAGGAUGAGCCUGCGGCCCAUCAGGUAGUUGGCGGGGUAAUGGCCCACCAAGCCUAAGACGGGUAGCUGGUCUGAGAGGAUGAUCAGCCACACUGGAACUGAGACACGGUCCAGACUCCUACGGGAGGCAGCAGUGGGGAAUCUUGCGCAAUGGACGAAAGUCUGACGCAGCGACGCCGCGUGGGUGAUGAAGGCCUUCGGGUUGUAAAGCCCUGUGGGGAGGGACGAAUAAGUUGCGGUUAAUACCCGCAGCGAUGACGGUACCUCCUUAGCAAGCACCGGCUAACUCUGUGCCAGCAGCCGCGGUAAGACAGAGGGUGCAAACGUUGUUCGGAAUUACUGGGCGUAAAGCGCGUGUAGGCGGCUAUGCAAGUCGGAUGUGAAAGCCCUCGGCUCAACCGGGGAAGUGCACCCGAAACUGCAAAGCUAGAGUCUCGGAGAGGAUCGUGGAAUUCUCGGUGUAGAGGUGAAAUUCGUAGAUAUCGAGAGGAACACCGGUGGCGAAGGCGGCGAUCUGGACGAUGACUGACGCUGAGACGCGAAAGCGUGGGGAGCAAACAGGAUUAGAUACCCCUGUAGUCC
This 803-nucleotide ribosomal RNA is filed under the name uncultured bacterium. RNAcentral's name for it is "bacterial SSU rRNA". It matches the Rfam family "Bacterial small subunit ribosomal RNA", at positions 8 to 796 of the family's 1533-position model. The record is from RNAcentral.